RNAcentral lists this ribosomal RNA (95 nucleotides) under uncultured bacterium. Its description in RNAcentral is "partial 16S ribosomal RNA". The record is from RNAcentral.
CCGCCCGUCACAUCAUGAAAGCCGUUUGUACCCGAAGUCGUCGUGCUAACCGCAAGGAGGCAGAUGCCGAAGGUAUGGAGUGGUGAUUGGGAGUG